Molecule: transfer RNA, 66 nt
Filed under: Coturnix ypsilophora (Swamp quail)
Lineage: Eukaryota; Metazoa; Chordata; Aves; Galliformes; Phasianidae
Description: tRNA-Cys
Source: RNAcentral
GGCUCCGUAGUGAAGUUCAUAAUGAGUUGCAAGCUCGUUGAUGCAUGUUAAAGCGUGCCGGGGUCU